GGACUACUGGGGUAUCUAAUCCUGUUUGCUCCCCACGCUUUCGCGCCUCAGCGUCAGAACCGGGCCAGAGAGCCGCUUUCGCCACCGGUGUUCCAGCCAAUAUCUACGAAUUUCACCUCUACACUGGCUAUUCCACCCUCCUCUCCCGGUCUCCAGCUCCCCCGUAUCGGAUGCCGUUCCGAGGUUGAGCCCCGGGCUUUCACAUCCGACGCAAGAAGCCGCCUACGCGCCCUUUACGCCCAGUAAUUCCGAACAACGCUAGCACCCUCCGUCUUACCGCGGCUGCUGGCAC
This 292-nucleotide ribosomal RNA is filed under the name uncultured Alphaproteobacteria bacterium. RNAcentral describes it as "partial 16S ribosomal RNA". Lineage: Bacteria; Pseudomonadati; Pseudomonadota; Alphaproteobacteria. The record is from RNAcentral.